Molecule: ribosomal RNA, 253 nt
Filed under: uncultured bacterium
Lineage: Bacteria
Description: partial 16S ribosomal RNA
Rfam family: Bacterial small subunit ribosomal RNA
Source: RNAcentral
UACGAAGGGGGCUAGCGUUGUUCGGAUUAACUGGGCGUAAAGGGUGCGUAGGCGGGUUUUUAAGUCAGGGGUGAAAUCCCGAGGCUCAACCUCGGAACUGCCUUUGAUACUGGAAAUCUUGAGUCUGGGAGAGGUGAGUGGAACUGCGAGUGUAGAGGUGAAAUUCGUAGAUAUUCGCAAGAACACCGGUGGCGAAGGCGGCUCACUGGUCCGGUUCUGACGCUGAGGCGCGAAAGCGUGGGGAGCAAACAGG